AGAUUGUAAGGGACAAAAACCUUUACCUUCAAAAACUAGAGCAUUUCUUCCUUUCCAGUUCCAGAUAUGCCAAAGUAUCCAAGGAAACAUUCGAGCAAUUUCUGAAGGCAAGGAUUUUGAUUUGCUUGCUUUUAGAAGAUGGUAAAAAUUUGAGAACACAGACCUUGAAAAAACUUCUGUAAGCGGUUGAGGGAAAAGCGACACCUUGAAUCCACUUUCAUCCCCCUGGAAACAAUUUUAUCCGCAACAGGGAGGGACUCAGAGAGCAUUUUCCAAAUAAAAGUCUUGAUUUUUGGAGAAGUUUUUAAGGACCAAACCUCUGAUUUUAGAUGAUUUAACGAGGGCAUCACAGAAGCUUCAAACUUAAGCUGAGAGUUGGUAAUUUGAUUUUGCAACCAGUAGCAUGAUUUCACAGAAUACUCCCCACUUCUGUUACGUCCCCAAACCCAGAAAUCAUCUUUGAAAACAACUGGUCUUGUUUGCAGAAUGCACUUGAUAUCUGCAGGAUAGAAAAGAUUUUCCAGUUUUUCUCUGUUUCAAUCUCUAUUUUGGAAGUCAAUCAGAUCACUUACCAAGAGAUCAAUAUCAAUAACUGGAUUCUUUAUCAGCGGUGCUUGCAUAUUUCCUCCCU
This 631-nucleotide long non-coding RNA is filed under the name Brassica napus (rape). RNAcentral's name for it is "long non-coding RNA (BNAP_LNC011165)". The record is from RNAcentral. Lineage: Eukaryota; Viridiplantae; Streptophyta; Magnoliopsida; Brassicales; Brassicaceae.